Molecule: ribosomal RNA, 2917 nt
Filed under: Pseudomonas syringae pv. syringae
Lineage: Bacteria; Pseudomonadati; Pseudomonadota; Gammaproteobacteria; Pseudomonadales; Pseudomonadaceae
Description: 23S ribosomal RNA
Source: RNAcentral
GUUAUAUGGUCAAGUGAAGAAGCGCAUACGGUGGAUGCCUUGGCAGUCAGAGGCGAUGAAAGACGUGGUAGCCUGCGAAAAGCUUCGGGGAGUCGGCAAACAGACUGUGAUCCGGAGGUAUCUGAAUGGGGGAACCCAGCCAUCAUAAGAUGGUUAUCUUGUACUGAAUACAUAGGUGCAAGAGGCGAACCAGGGGAACUGAAACAUCUAAGUACCCUGAGGAAAAGAAAUCAACCGAGAUUCCCUUAGUAGUGGCGAGCGAACGGGGACCAGCCCUUAAGUUGUAUUGAGAUUAGCGGAACRYUCUGGAAAGGGUGGCCAUAGUGGGUGAUAGCCCUGUACGCGAAAAUCCCUUUGCAAUGAAAUCGAGUAGGACGGGGCACGAGAAACCUUGUCUGAAUAUGGGGGGACCAUCCUCCAAGGCUAAAUACUACUGACUGACCGAUAGUGAACCAGUACCGUGAGGGAAAGGCGAAAAGAACCGCGGAGAGCGGAGUGAAAUAGAUCCUGAAACCGUAUGCGUACAAGCAGUGGGAGCCCACUUUGUUGGGUGACUGCGUACCUUUUGUAUAAUGGGUCAGCGACUUAUUUUCAGUGGCGAGCUUAACCGAAUAGGGGAGGCGUAGCGAAAGCGAGUCUUAAUAGGGCGUCUAGUCGCUGGGAAUAGACCCGAAACCGGGCGAUCUAUCCAUGGGCAGGUUGAAGGUUGGGUAACACUAACUGGAGGACCGAACCGACUACCGUUGAAAAGUUAGCGGAUGACCUGUGGAUCGGAGUGAAAGGCUAAUCAAGCUCGGAGAUAGCUGGUUCUCCUCGAAAGCUAUUUAGGUAGCGCCUCAUGUAUCACUGUAGGGGGUAGAGCACUGUUUCGGCUAGGGGGUCAUCCCGACUUACCAAACCGAUGCAAACUCCGAAUACCUACAAGUGCCGAGCAUGGGAGACACACGGCGGGUGCUAACGUCCGUCGUGAAAAGGGAAACAACCCAGACCGUCAGCUAAGGUCCCAAAGUCAUGGUUAAGUGGGAAACGAUGUGGGAAGGCUUAGACAGCUAGGAGGUUGGCUUAGAAGCAGCCACCCUUUAAAGAAAGCGUAAUAGCUCACUAGUCGAGUCGGCCUGCGCGGAAGAUGUAACGGGGCUCAAACCAUGCACCGAAGCUACGGGUAUCAUCUUUUGAUGAUGCGGUAGAGGAGCGUUCUGUAAGCCUGUGAAGGUGAGUUGAGAAGCUUGCUGGAGGUAUCAGAAGUGCGAAUGCUGACAUGAGUAACGACAAUGGGUGUGAAAAACACCCACGCCGAAAGACCAAGGUUUCCUGCGCAACGUUAAUCGACGCAGGGUUAGUCGGUCCCUAAGGCGAGGCUGAAAAGCGUAGUCGAUGGAAAACAGGUUAAUAUUCCUGUACUUCUGGUUAUUGCGAUGGAGGGACGGAGAAGGCUAGGCCAGCCUGGCGUUGGUUGUCCAGGUUUAAGGUGGUAGGCUGAGAUCUUAGGUAAAUCCGGGAUCUYAAGGCCGAGAGCUGAUGACGAGUGUUCUUUAGAACACGAAGUGGUUGAUGCCAUGCUUCCAAGAAAAGCUUCUAAGCUUCAGGUAACCAGGAACCGUACCCCAAACCGACACAGGUGGUUGGGUAGAGAAUACCAAGGCGCUUGAGAGAACUCGGGUGAAGGAACUAGGCAAAAUGGCACCGUAACUUCGGGAGAAGGUGCGCCGGUGAGGGUGAAGCAUUUACUGCGUAAGCUCAUGCCGGUCGAAGAUACCAGGCCGCUGCGACUGUUUAUUAAAAACACAGCACUCUGCAAACACGAAAGUGGACGUAUAGGGUGUGACGCCUGCCCGGUGCCGGAAGGUUAAUUGAUGGGGUUAGCGCAAGCGAAGCUCUUGAUCGAAGCCCCGGUAAACGGCGGCCGUAACUAUAACGGUCCUAAGGUAGCGAAAUUCCUUGUCGGGUAAGUUCCGACCUGCACGAAUGGCGUAACGAUGGCGGCGCUGUCUCCACCCGAGACUCAGUGAAAUUGAAAUCGCUGUGAAGAUGCAGUGUAUCCGCGGCUAGACGGAAAGACCCCGUGAACCUUUACUAUAGCUUUGCACUGGACUUUGAAUUUGCUUGUGUAGGAUAGGUGGGAGGCUUUGAAGCGUGGACGCCAGUCUGCGUGGAGCCAACCUUGAAAUACCACCCUGGCAACUUUGAGGUUCUAACUCAGGUCCGUUAUCCGGAUCGAGGACAGUGUAUGGUGGGUAGUUUGACUGGGGCGGUCUCCUCCUAAAGAGUAACGGAGGAGUACGAAGGUGCGCUCAGACCGGUCGGAAAUCGGUCGUAGAGUAUAAAGGCAAAAGCGCGCUUGACUGCGAGACAGACACGUCGAGCAGGUACGAAAGUAGGUCUUAGUGAUCCGGUGGUUCUGUAUGGAAGGGCCAUCGCUCAACGGAUAAAAGGUACUCCGGGGAUAACAGGCUGAUACCGCCCAAGAGUUCAUAUCGACGGCGGUGUUUGGCACCUCGAUGUCGGCUCAUCACAUCCUGGGGCUGAAGCCGGUCCCAAGGGUAUGGCUGUUCGCCAUUUAAAGUGGUACGCGAGCUGGGUUUAGAACGUCGUGAGACAGUUCGGUCCCUAUCUGCCGUGGACGUUUGAGAUUUGAGAGGGGCUGCUCCUAGUACGAGAGGACCGGAGUGGACGAACCUCUGGUGUUCCGGUUGUCACGCCAGUGGCAUUGCCGGGUAGCUAUGUUCGGAAAAGAUAACCGCUGAAAGCAUCUAAGCGGGAAACUUGCCUCAAGAUGAGAUCUCACUGGAACCUUGAGUUCCCUAAAGGGCCGUCGAAGACUACGACGUUGAUAGGUUGGGUGUGUAAGCGCUGUGAGGCGUUGAGCUAACCAAUACUAAUUGCCCGUGAGGCUUGACCAUAUAACACCCAAGCAAUU